UACGUAGGGUGCGAGCGUUAAUCGGAAUUACUGGGCGUAAAGCGUGCGCAGGCGGUUGUGCAAGACAGAUGUGAAAUCCCCGGGCUUAACCUGGGAAUGGCAUUUGUGACUGCACGGCUAGAGUGUGUCAGAGGGGGGUAGAAUUCCACGUGUAGCAGUGAAGUGCGUAGAUAUGUGGAGGAAUACCGAUGGCGAAGGCAGCCCCCUGGGAUAACACUGACGCUCAUGCACGAAAGCGUGGGGAGCAAACAGG
Molecule: ribosomal RNA, 253 nt
Filed under: uncultured bacterium
Lineage: Bacteria
Description: partial 16S ribosomal RNA
Rfam family: Bacterial small subunit ribosomal RNA
Source: RNAcentral